This 486-nucleotide ribosomal RNA is filed under the name uncultured bacterium. RNAcentral describes it as "partial 16S ribosomal RNA". It matches the Rfam family "Bacterial small subunit ribosomal RNA", at positions 30 to 507 of the family's 1533-position model. The record is from RNAcentral.
AUUGAACGCUGGCGGCAUGCCUUACACAUGCAAGUCGAACGGCAGCACGGGUGCUUGCACCUGGUGGCGAGUGGCGAACGGGUGAGUAAUACAUCGGAACAUGUUCUGUAGUGGGGGAUAGCCCGGCGAAAGCCGGAUUAAUACCGCAUACGAUCUACGGAAGAAAGCGGGGGACCUUCGGGCCUCGCGCUAUAGGGUUGGUCGAUGGCUGAUUAGCUAGUUGGUGGGGUAAAGGCCUACCAAGGCGACGAUCAGUAGCUGGUCUGAGAGGACGACCAGCCACACUGGGACUGAGACACGGCCCAGACUCCUACGGGAGGCAGCAGUGGGGAAUUUUGGACAAUGGGCGAAAGCCUGAUCCAGCAAUGCCGCGUGUGUGAAGAAGGCCUUCGGGUUGUAAAGCACUUUUGUCCGGAAAGAAAACCUUGGCUCUAAUACAGUCGGGUGAUGACGGUACCGGAAGAAUAAGCACCGGCUAACUACGUG